Molecule: non-coding RNA, 29 nt
Filed under: Homo sapiens (human)
Lineage: Eukaryota; Metazoa; Chordata; Mammalia; Primates; Hominidae
Source: RNAcentral
UGGGUCUAGCUUGGAGCCUUGGUAGGGAA